CGGGCGCGGCGAACGGUCUAAGUCCCUUGGAACGGGGCGUCAUAGAGGGUGAGAAUCCCGUAUGCGACCGGCGACCAAGCCCAUGUGAAACUCCUUCGACGAGUCGAGUUGUUUGGGAAUGCAGCUCAAAAUGGGUGGUAAAUUUCAUCUAAAGCUAAAUACCGGCCAGAGACCGAUAGCGCACAAGUAGAGUGAUCGAAAGAUGAAAAGCACUUUGGAAAGAGAGUCAAAAAGUACGUGAAAUUGUUGAAAGGGAAGCGCUUGCAACCAGACCUGCCCGCGGGCGAUCAGCCGUCCCUUCGGGGGCGGUGUACUCGCCCGCGAUCAGGCCAGCAUCGGUUCGGGCGGCCGGAUAAAGGCCUUGGGAACGUAGCUCCUUUCGGGGAGUGUUAUAGCCCUCGGUGCAAUGCGGCCAGCCCGGACCGAGGACCGCGCUUCGGCUAGGAUGCUGGCGUAAUGGUUGUAAGCGGCCCGUCUUGAAACACGGACCAAGGAGUCUAACAUCUAUGCGAGUGUUUGGGUGUCAAACCCAUACGCGUAAUGAAAGUGAACGGAGGUGGGAACCCGCAAGGGCGCACCAUCGACCGAUCCAGAUGUCUUCGGAUGGAUUUGAGUACGAGCAUAGCUGUUGGGACCCGAAAGAUGGUGAACUAUACUUGAAUAGGGUGAAGCCAGAGGAGACUCUGGUGGAGGCUCGCAGCGGUUCUGACGUGCAAAUCGAUCGUCAAAUUUGAGUAUAGGGGC
This 744-nucleotide ribosomal RNA is filed under the name Caloplaca sp. RNAcentral's name for it is "partial large subunit ribosomal RNA". It matches the Rfam family "Eukaryotic large subunit ribosomal RNA", at positions 165 to 924 of the family's 3401-position model. Lineage: Eukaryota; Fungi; Ascomycota; Lecanoromycetes; Teloschistales; Teloschistaceae. The record is from RNAcentral.